UACGUAGGGUGCGAGCGUUGUCCGGAAUUAUUGGGCGUAAAGAGCUCGUAGGCGGCUUGUCGCGUCGACCGUGAAAACUUGGGGCUCAACCCCAAGCCUGCGGUCGAUACGGGCAGGCUCGAGUUCGGUAGGGGAGACUGGAAUUCCUGGUGUAGCGGUGAAAUGCGCAGAUAUCAGGAGGAACACCGAUUGCGAAGGCAGCUCGCUGGGACGUUACUGACGCUGAGACGCGAAAGCGUGGGGAGCAAACAGG
RNAcentral lists this ribosomal RNA (253 nucleotides) under uncultured bacterium. RNAcentral describes it as "partial 16S ribosomal RNA". It matches the Rfam family "Bacterial small subunit ribosomal RNA", at positions 524 to 776 of the family's 1533-position model. The record is from RNAcentral.